RNAcentral lists this ribosomal RNA (508 nucleotides) under uncultured bacterium. RNAcentral's name for it is "partial 16S ribosomal RNA". It matches the Rfam family "Bacterial small subunit ribosomal RNA", at positions 30 to 523 of the family's 1533-position model. The record is from RNAcentral.
AUUGAACGCUGGCGGCAGGCCUAACACAUGCAAGUCGAGCGGCAGCGGGAAAGUAGCUUGCUACUUUUGCCGGCGAGCGGCGGACGGGUGAGUAAUGCCUGGGGAUCUGCCCAGUCGAGGGGGAUAACUACUGGAAACGGUAGCUAAUACCGCAUACGCCCUACGGGGGAAAGCAGGGGACCUUCGGGUCUUGCGAGAUUGGAUGAACCCAGGUGGGAUUCGCUAGUUGGUGAGGUAAUGGCUCACCAAGGCGACGAUCCCUAGCUGGUCUGAGAGGAUGAUCAGCCACACUGGAACUGAGACACGGUCCAGACUCCUACGGGAGGCAGCAGUGGGGAAUAUUGCACAAUGGGGGAAACCCUGAUGCAGCCAGGCCGCGUGUGUGAAGAAGGCCUUCGGGUUGUAAAGCACUUUCAGCGAGGAGGAAAGGUCAGUAGCUAAUAUCUGCUGGCUGUGACGUUACUCGCAGAAGAAGCACCGGCUAACUCCGUGCCAGCCGCCGCAGUAA